RNAcentral lists this ribosomal RNA (554 nucleotides) under uncultured bacterium. RNAcentral's name for it is "bacterial SSU rRNA". It matches the Rfam family "Bacterial small subunit ribosomal RNA", at positions 350 to 920 of the family's 1533-position model. The record is from RNAcentral.
AGCAGUGAGGAAUAUUCGGCAAUGGGGCAACCCUGACCGAGCAACGCCGCGUGGAGGAUGACGGUUUCGGAUUGUAAACUCCUUUUCUCAGGGAAGAGCGAGGACGGUACCUGGGGAAUAAGUCACGGCUAACUACGUGCCAGCAGCCGCGGUAAUACGUAGGUGGCAAGCGUUAUCCGGAAUUACUGGGCGUAAAGCGCACGCAGGUGGCGGCUUAAGUCUGACGUGAAAGCUCCUGGCUUAACUGGGAGAGGUCGUUGGAGACUGGGCGGCUUGAGGCGAGGAGAGGGGUGUAGAAUUCCCGGUGUAGUGGUGGAAUGCGUAGAGAUCGGGAGGAAUACCAGUGGCGAAAGCGGCACCCUGGCCUUGGCCUGACGCUCAGGUGCGAAAGCGUGGGGAGCGAACGGGAUUAGAUACCCCGGUAGUCCACGCGGUAAACGAUGAAUACUAGGUGUAGGUGGUCUCAAAACUAUCUGUACCGCAGCUAACGCGAUAAGUAUUCCGCCUGGGGAGUACGACCGCAAGGUUAAAAACUCAAAGGAAUUGACGGGGGC